RNAcentral lists this transfer RNA (63 nucleotides) under Trypophloeus asperatus. Its description in RNAcentral is "tRNA-Glu". Lineage: Eukaryota; Metazoa; Arthropoda; Insecta; Coleoptera; Curculionidae. The record is from RNAcentral.
AUUUAUAUAGUUUAACAAAAACAAUUCAUUUUCAAUGAAAAAUUAGAUUUAAUCUUAUAAAUA